AACAUAGAAAUACUUAUUGGAUUAUACCUCUGAGGUCGUCAUGUGAUUUAUAUUAGUGUGUAAAUGCCCCUCUUGAUGUUUAUUUUUUGCGAAUGUGUGCAUUUGGCCGGAAAACAAUCUGACAUUCCACCUUGAGAUUUUAUUUGAGAGUUGUUCCAUCCUUAAAUGUAAAGCACUAGGAUUCAAAACAGUGUUCAUGGUGAUACAGGAAAACUUCAAGGUUCCUGCAGAUGGUGUUGAAAACUAUUGGCCAGUAAACACAAAUUAAACCCAUUUAAUUACAUCUUGAAUCUUCACCAGUAGAAAAAAGAUGGCAGUACUUUUAAUGCAAGCAGCUACUAAGGAAGAUUAAAUGAAGGAAGAUCAGGAAAUGGAGAAAAAGCUGAAGAACAAGGAGGACAAGAUGAAGAAAGAACAAGGGCACAGUGACUUGCAGUGUGUGUACAUGUAACAUUAUUACAACAACUAUAUCAUGGGUCCAUAAUUUUGAGUAAGUCAUUCAUCAAGUACUUUAUAUGUACUGGAAACCAUUUCUGAGGGGGAUGAAGUGAUGGAAGAUAAUGAGCUGGAGGGUGGAAUGGAAGAGAAAGGGAAAGAGAUAAAGAAAAAGGCAGAAUGAGAAAGGACUAGAACUUGCAAUAGAAGAAAAAGUUUAGGGAAAUUAAGAGGAAGAAAUUGAAGAUGAAAAGAAGAGCUCUGGGAGGAAAAAAUUCCAUUUGUUAAGAAUGUGUGGACAAAAGAAAAAUAGCCAUAGAGUGCCAAUGUGGAGUGGAAAAAGGCAGUAUGACUUGAUCGUGGUCAAUUGAAGUGUUUAAAUGCCCCUCAAGAAAGCAGAACAAUCUUUGAAUUUGCAAGAAAGAGUAUAAAAUUUGCUGCUAAAAUAUCAUAACAGCUAGACAAAGAUUAAAUAACAACUACACUUACAUCUAAAGAAUUUUUUUGUCCUAAUAGUGAUUCAUGUGCAAGUACAUGUAACAAGUGCUAUAAUGACCUAAUAUUAGUGUGUUUUAGGAGCAUGUUGACUCUAUUGUAAAUGUAUUGACUCAUUAUAUGACCUCAUUUAUAUAUAUCAUUAUAUGAAUGGUAGUGUAGUGACUCGACAUGUGUGUUAGCUGUGUAGGUUAUGAUGUGUGGUAAUUUUGUGUACGUAUGUAGUAUGGUGACUCGUGUUGGGAAUGUAUAAUUUUAUGUGUUACUGAUAUAUCUCAUCAUGUGAUUUAAAAUGGUUAUUUGUAAUGUAUAUAUUAGAAGUGUAGUGACUCGACAUGUGUGUUAGUAGUGUAGUGACUCGACGUGUGUUAGUACUGUAGCUUAUUAUGUGUGGUGAUUUUGUUAUUUGUAAGUUGUACAUGUAGUAUGGUGACUCGUGUGUUGGAAAUGUAUAAUUUUAUGUGUGUUACUAGCUCAUCGUGUGUUUUAGUAUUGUUAUUUGUAGUGUAUAUAUUAGUAUUGUAGUGACUUGACAAGUGUAUUAGUUGUGUAGUGACUCGACAUGUGUGUUAGUAGUGUAGUGACUCGACAUGUGUGUUAGUAGUGUAGCUUAUUAUGUGUGGUCAUUUUGUUAUUUGUUAUGUGUGUUGUACAUGUAGUAUGGUGACUUAUGUGUUUGAAAUGUAUAAUUAUAUAUACCCUCGCUCCGAAGGAGAGGGGGGGUAUACUGUUUUAUCCUUUUGUGUCUAGCUGUGUGUGUGUCUGUCUGUCUGUCUGUCCAUAACAAAUUUUUGGUCACAUUUUUCUCAGCAACUACUCAUUGCAGAUGCUUGAAAUUUUAGCACACUCUCUGUUUAGGCUUGCCAUAUGGUGGGAUUCAUUUUUAUACAAAUCUGAUGUCAACUUCCUGUUUAUCCAUGUGUCUGUCCGUACAACACAUAACAAAUUUUCGUCUCAGUUUUCUCAGCAACUUCUUAUCGCUUGAAAUUUUAGCACACUCUUUGCUGAGGCAUGCCAUAUGGUGUGAUUCAUUUUUGUAUGAAUUUGAUGCCAAUUAACUUCCUCUUUAUCUGUGCGUUUGUCUGUAUCAUACAUAACAAAUUUUCAUUGCAGUUUUUUCAGUAGUUACUUAUAGGUAUAGCAGAUGCUUGAAAUUUUAGCACAUUCUUUGUUUUGGCAUGCCAUAUUUUGAGAUUCAUUUUUGUACAAGUCUGAUGUCAACUUCCUGUUUAUCUGUGUGUCUGUCUAUACCAUACAUAACAAAUUUUUGUUGCAGUUUUCUCAUCAACUACUUAUUGCAGAUGCAUGAAAGUUUACACACUUUUUGUUUAGGCAUGUCAUAUGAUGGGAUUCAUUUCUGAAUUUGAUGUCAACUUCCUGUUUAUCUGUGCAUCUGUCUGUAUAAUAUGGAACAUUUUCUCAGCAACAACUCUUGUUGAGGCAUGCAAUAUGGUGGGAUUUAUUUUUGUAUGAAUCUGAUGUCAACUUCCUGUUUAUCCGUGCGUCUGUCCAUAGCUGCACUUGUGUAUAUUCACAUGAUAAUGUAUAUUCACAUCACGGUGGGGGGAUUACCAGUGGGCAUUGGCUCACAGAACUUGUUUUAUGUGUGUUACUGGUAUAGGUCAUCAUGUGAUUUAAUGUUGUUAUUUGUAAUUUAUAUAUUAGAAGUGUAGUGACUCGACAUGUGUGUUAGUAGUGUAGUGACUCGACAUGUGUGUUAGUAUUGUUAAGCUUAUGAUGUGUGGUAAUUUUGUUAUUUGUUAUGUGUGUUGUACAUGUAGUAUUGUGAAUCAUUAUGUGUUGGGAAUAUGUAAUUUUAUGUGUGUUAUUGGUAAAGCUCCUCGUGUUUUUUUAAGGAAUAACUGUCUAAUUUUUUGGAUUCAUGAUGUGAUCAAUCGAGUGGCUUGCGUGAUAAUUUGCAUAAACGCCGAAGGCAUUUAUGCAAAAAAAUUAUCACGCAAGCCAAUCGAUUGAUCAUCGUCAUGAAUCCAAAAAAUCUGACAGUUAUUCCUUAUAUUUACAUGCUCCUGAUUCUGCAAAUUCCCGUGCUAAUAGCCCAGCGUCUGUCUUUAUUUGUCCCGCCCCGCACGUGAUUUUUUUUAACCGCCCCUAUCGAUGAACCAGUGGAUUUAUGUAGAAAUAAAGUAUUUUUACAAUUUGUAAUUUUAUCUCGGACAAAGACAUUGGAAAUGUAAAUAUAUAUUGUUAUUUGUAAUAUACAGUGAAACUUGUCUUAUCCGGAUGUUGUGUACUCCAAAAUCUUGACUAAUACAGUGUUAAAUUUAGUCACCUGCAGUAGAUUCAAUUGUAUUAAAUGUUGUCUAAUCCGGAAUGUGGUCUAAUCCAGCCAAUUUCUUUGGAACCAGUGGUGUUCAGAUUAGAAAAGUUUUACUGUAUAUAUUAGUAGUGUAGAAACUCUACAUGUGUGUUAGUAGUGUAUUGACUCGACUUGUGUGUUAGUAGUGUAGUGACUCGACAUGUGUCUUAGUAGUGUAGCUUAUGAUGUGUGGUAAUUUUGUUAUUUAUUAUGUGUGUUGCACAUAUACAUGUAGAUAAUAUGGUGACUCAUGUGUCAGGAAUGUAUAAUUUUAAGUGUGUUACUUUUAUAACUCAUCGUGUGAUUUAAAAUUGUUAUUUGUAAUGUAUAUAUCAGUAGUGUAGUGACUCGACGUGUGUAAGUAGUGUAGUGACUCGACAUGUGUGUUAGUAGUGUAGUGACUUAACAUGUGUGUUAGUACUGAAGCUUAUUAUAUGUGGUAAUUUUGUUAUUUGUUAUGUGUGUUGUACAUGUAGUAUGGUGACGCUUGUGCUGGGAAUGUAUAAUUUUAAGUGUGUUACUGGUAUAACUCAUCGUGUGAUUUAAAAUUGUUAUUUGUAAUGUAUAUAUCAGUAGUGUAGUGACUCGACGUGUGUAAGUAGUGUAGUGACUCGACAUGUGUGUUAGUAGUGUAGUGACUUAACAUGUGUGUUAGUAGUGUAGCUUAUUAUGUGUGGUAAUUUUGUUGUUUGUUUUGUGUGUUGUACAUAUAGUAUGGUGACUCAUGCGUCAGGAAUGUAUAAUUUUAAGUGUGUUACUGGUAUAGCUCAUUGUGUGUUUAAAUAUUAUUUGUUAUUUGUAAUACAUAUAUUUGUAUUGUUAUUUUGGUAUGUGUGUUGUACAUGUAGCAUGGGACUCAUUUUGUGUUGGGAAUGUAGAAUUUUACCUGCGGUAGUGUAGCUCAUUUUUGUGUGCUAAUGUUAUUUUUUAUGUGUAAUAGUCAUGUAGUGACUCAAUAUGUCUGUAAGUAGUGUAGCUCAUUAUGUGUUUUCAUGUUGAGUUAGUUUAAUUUAGAAGAGUGUUGACUUAUUGUGUAAGUUAGAGUAGCCUCUUGCUAUAUGUGAGCAUAAUAUAAAAAGACACUUUUUUUAUGAUGUGUAUAUAAUUAUUAAAACAAUGCUAAAUAUAAUAUUAUACCAACCUCCAUUGAUAAACUUAUGUUUGAAUUUCUAAUGUAAUGUAAGCUGCAUGAAUAGAUCAUAUUUUGACUGAAUUUUGAAUGAGCAUAAUUUGUGAUUUUAAUUUUUGAAAUAAACAGAAAUUUAA
Molecule: long non-coding RNA, 4513 nt
Organism: Saccostrea echinata
Lineage: Eukaryota; Metazoa; Mollusca; Bivalvia; Ostreida; Ostreidae
Exons: 7
Source: RefSeq, a predicted model, not a curated record